GGCGAAUCUGACAUUUGAGAUGGAGAAGGUGAGAGCCGAGCUGAAACAUGUUCGGAGAUGUAUGCUAUGGCUCAAACCGAGACUGUUGAUGCCUCUCAAAAGCUAACUGAGCUAAACCAGCGAAAAUAUGAGGAGUCAGAGAAGCUUAUGGAGCUAAAAGAAAAGGAAGAACUAGCUAAAGAUACAGCUUCAAAGGAGAAGCAGAGGUACGAAGAUACUAUGAAGGAGGCAGAGAAGGUUAAAGAACUCAUGAUGAAAGAGGCUUUACGUAGAAGAGAAGCUGAGAUCAAAGCAGAGCGUGAUGCUAAAGAGAAAGAUGAGCUCCAGGCUUCUCUCGUCUGUCCCGGGAUCCAAUACCAAUACUACUCAUGGGAUUAGGUGGUCAUCGAACGAGCCAUAAAAACCAACGGUUGAAGAUUUGAGACAAGAAUGAUCAAGACCGACGUUAUGAAUGUGAAGUCUGUGGCAGAGUAUUUGAAUCUGGUCAAGCACUUGGUGGUCACAAGAAGGUUCAUUACAUUAAAUGUAAUUAGGUUCGGUUAUGUUUGGUUAGUCGACUUCAACCGAGUAACAUAGAACCUAUGACAAGUUAAAAAAAAAAAAAAAACAUAGAACCUAUGAAUUGUGGAAUUUGGGUGAUUAACUGAUAUGGAUGAACAAAUAAUGCAUUAUGCUCUAUAUGUUUAUGUUGUUGUGCCCUUUUUAGUUUAUUUUCUCUAUUUUAUAAAUAAGACUUUUGUUAAAGUUCGUAUUUUGUUUUCAUUUUUCGUACCUUUAAGUUUUUUUUUCUUUAUAAUAAUAAAAUUUGGUUACAGUUUAUGUGUUUUUCAUAAAAUUGCUUAUACAGAAUAUACAUUUCUUUCAGAAUUUAAUUUCAGCAGAAAAUUGCGAAAUACAAAAUUUGUAAAUGUUGAUGCAGUGAUUCUAUAUCGUUUAGAGAAAUCCACAUGAUUAAAGAAUGUCUCAUAAUUCAUACAUAGUACAUGGUUAAAGACCAUUCAUAAUUCAUAGUAAUAUUGUGUUAGUCAAACAUCAAGACUAAAACAUUAAUGGUACAUAUUAUUAUGUUUUAUUUAGAAGAUUUUCUAUAUUUAAUAUAUCUACGUGUCAAUUUACAAAUUAAUCAGAAUUUAUGUUUUUGUUUGACUAAGUGAAGUCAAAGAUAUUCAAUCCAAAUAUAUACAUUGAUUAGUAUACGAAGUAAAGAACUGCAUAAUAAUUAGUGGUAAGACUAAGAAUUUACGUUAAAUGGAAAUAUCAUCAAAUGAAGUCGCGUAGCUUGAUUGUUUCUUUGCAUUUAUGUUAAUAAAAAUGAAAUUGAUACUAAUGUUGACUCCUUUCAAAGAAGUUGGAGUUCACAUGUUAAGUGUUCCAAAAUCGUUUUGAGUUGUACAUCGACUACGCUGAAAUAAAACGGGCCGAUAAUGGGUAAAAGACUUAAAGACCCACAUACUGACAGUUACUCUAACUAGCCCGAGAAAUGUAGGAGUUUGGUUGACUUGAUCCUCUCCAAACAAAAUGUAAAACAUUUCACUCAUACACAAAAGCAGAAGUACACUCAUAUAUACUCACUCCCUAACACCCUUCAAAAAAAGAAAAAAAAAAGCUACAAUCACAUAAAACAACAUAUACGAAGAGAUAUAUAUCAACAAUCACACCCCAAUAUAUUGACCACAAACAUAUUCGCAUUUAGCAUCAGUAACAUUACCAAGAACGAUCACAUCAUCUCCGAUCAUCUCCCUAGCUCUUCGGCUUUGCUUCUUGAAGAAACAACACAUCUCUCAUUGGCGACGUUCUGCUGGAUUACGACUUGGCCAACAAACACUAAUCAGUUUACAAAAACACACAUCCGAACAGAUUUAAUAUACAUGGCCCAUGCUUUUAUUUUUGUCAUGUUGUAAGCACAGCAAUGCCUUAGCUUGAAGUUAUGAGCACAUUAAAAAGACAAUAAUGCAUUAUCAUUAACCUAGUGAAUUCUAAACACUUUCAGUGUUGUUAAUAAGAUUAAAUCUUAUCGUUUCGAGUUUCAUUACAUUCCAUCAUGGAGGUCUUGUCAAGAAGAGCGACAGCAUGAACAAGGAUAGUGUGCUCACGUUUGGAGUAUUAUUCUUUUUUUUUUUUUUUUUUUGGUAACAAUGUUAAGAUUUAUUACCCUUUUCAAAUUUGAGACAGAACUACAAAGGAAACUAGAAACAGAAGAUUCAAGAAUUGAAACUAAACACCAACUCAAUCUAAAGCUACACAAGGCCAAAACUACGAGUGCAACAACAAUACCAAAGGCUACACCAAACUCAGCACAAAACACUUGCCGCAAAAUUUAGAACCACAGUUAACCCGAGAACUGAACCCGGUAGAUUUGGCGAUACCCGGUGAUCAGUUCUUAAUGAUUGGCUCCUCAAGAACAGCUCAUGAAAGGCCUUCUUAUCGGCAGCCACCAUGGACAAAGAGCAACACUCGAGCAAAGCGCACCCGCAAAGACAUUAGAAAAGCUUUAUUUGGAGAGAAAGACCACCAGAGACGCCACGAACACCACCGAACCUGCAAUGAAGAAGACAGAACCAAGCUAGCACCGCUUUGAGUCGAAAACGGUCAGGAACAAGCCCUAGAUCCAGCCCUGAAACUAGCCGGAAACAACACGUGCUGCCACCGGGGAAGAAGAACCAUGGUUGAGAAGACCGACGAUGCUCAUCCCCACACGCGCCCGCGGCGGAGAACCCGCAACAGGUCAACCCACACAGAACCGACAGCUCUCCGAUGAGUCCUUCAGGAACCGCCUCACAGAUCUAAGCGUGUACGCCAUCGGACCCCAACAACGGCACGGACCAAGAAAGGCGGUACCCCCGAGGAGAAGGAGGAGACGAGGAGACGAGGAAGGAGGGAACCCGCUUCCGUCAAACUAGAUCUGACACCAGAUCUAAGCUUCAGCCGCCACAGAACUCAACCCAAGGAAUCGCUAACCAGAGCCCCAUCACCUAGCCUCGCUGCUACUCCAAGGCAGAGAACGCCAGAUCUACACCGCGGUGGCGAAAGCCUCAGAACAGGACAGCAAAGAAGCCAGGAAGAUGAGGGAGAUGAGCGACGAGAGAAGAAGGAAA
Molecule: long non-coding RNA, 3095 nt
Organism: Brassica rapa (field mustard)
Lineage: Eukaryota; Viridiplantae; Streptophyta; Magnoliopsida; Brassicales; Brassicaceae
Source: RefSeq, a predicted model, not a curated record